This 64-nucleotide transfer RNA is filed under the name Dipodomys ordii (Ord's kangaroo rat). It matches the Rfam family "tRNA". Rfam says of the family: Transfer RNA (tRNA) molecules are approximately 80 nucleotides in length. Their secondary structure includes four short double-helical elements and three loops (D, anti-codon, and T loops). Further hydrogen bonds mediate the characteristic L-shaped molecular structure. tRNAs have two regions of fundamental functional importance: the anti-codon, which is responsible for specific mRNA codon recognition, and the 3' end, to which the tRNAs corresponding amino acid is attached (by aminoacyl-tRNA synthetases). tRNAs cope with the degeneracy of the genetic code in two manners: having more than one tRNA (with a specific anti-codon) for a particular amino acid; and 'wobble' base-pairing, i.e. permitting non-standard base-pairing at the 3rd anti-codon position. The record is from Rfam by way of RNAcentral. Lineage: Eukaryota; Metazoa; Chordata; Mammalia; Rodentia; Heteromyidae.
GGUGGCUCAGUGGUAGAGUGCUUGCUUUGCGUGCAUGAGGUCCUGGGGUCGAUCCUCAGCACCA